UCGCCGUUCGGGGCGCAGGCCAGAGCCCGGCCGACCGGGAACGACGGGGCACCUUGCGCAUAGGCGGGCGACGCGCCGAUCGUCGCCGCGGCGACGGC
This 98-nucleotide transfer RNA is filed under the name Micromonospora endophytica. RNAcentral's name for it is "Li et al. 2019 tRNA-Ser". Lineage: Bacteria; Bacillati; Actinomycetota; Actinomycetes; Micromonosporales; Micromonosporaceae. The record is from RNAcentral.